Molecule: ribosomal RNA, 348 nt
Filed under: Holothuria edulis
Lineage: Eukaryota; Metazoa; Echinodermata; Holothuroidea; Aspidochirotida; Holothuriidae
Description: partial 12S ribosomal RNA
Source: RNAcentral
CACACAGUACGGUCCCAACUAAACUUAAAGAACUUGGCGGUUUUCUAGAUCUCCUUGGAGGAGCUUGUCAUCUAAUUGAUAACCCUCAAGACACCUCACCUAUUCAAGAAUAACAGCUUGUAUACCAUCGUCGCCAGCUCACCUCAAAAGAGCGUGAGCCAAACGAACCAACCUCACAACGUCAGAUCAAGGUGCAGUCAAUGAAUAGGGGAUUGAUGAGCUACCAUACUUACAAAAUAGAGGAAGUAAAAAUGAAAAACCUACCAAAAGAUAAUGAAAUGGAAUCCUAAUAAUUAUUAUACCAGUGAAUUAGAAUUUAAAAUGAUCACACCCCGGAAGAUCUCGACA